Molecule: ribosomal RNA, 863 nt
Filed under: Lozekia transsylvanica
Lineage: Eukaryota; Metazoa; Mollusca; Gastropoda; Stylommatophora; Hygromiidae
Description: partial 16S ribosomal RNA
Source: RNAcentral
AAUUACUAAAAUACUGUACUAAAUUGUACUACACGAAUUAGUAUGAGCUAAUUAUUUAUAAAUAUAUAGUUUAUUUUAUUAAAUGUAGCAAUAUUUAAUUACUAUAUAUAAUUAGGGGUGAAACAUCUAUCAAAUCCUACGAUAUCUUGAAGUAAAGUAAAAAUAUUUAGUAUUUAGCUCAACUAUAAAGUGAUUAGGCUUUAUAGAGACAUAAUAAUAAAUAAAAAGGAAUAUAAAUUAUAUAAAUUAUAAUUAUAUUACAUAACCUAAAAUAAUAUAUAUUAACUAUAUGAUUUUAUACUAUACAAUAAAUUACUAUAUAUAAAAUUUAUUUAUAAUGUAAUUAUAAGUAAUUAAAAAAAUAUAAAAUAGGAACUCGGCAAAAUAUUUUUUCAACUGUUUACCAAAAACAUUGCUUUAUGUAGAAUAUAUAAAGUUAUCCCUGCUCAAUGGUUUUUACUAAAUAGCCGCAGUACAUUGACUGUGCAAAGGUAGCAUAAUAAAUUGGCUUAUAAUUGAAGUCUAGUAUGAAUGGGUGUAUGGAAAAAUACUGUCUUUUAUAUAAUAAUUGAAAUUAAUUAGAAAGUGCAAAUGCUUUCAUAUAAUAAUUAGACGAGAAGACCCUAGAAAUUUUUAUAUAGAUCAAUCAAAUAAAUAUUUUGUUGGGGCGACAAAGUAACAAGUAACUUACUAUUAAUAUAUAAGAAAUUUAUAUAUAGUAUAAUAAAAUUACUCUAGGGAUAACAGCAUAAUAUAUAAAAGUUUGUGACCUCGAUGUUGGACUAGGAUAAUUAAUACUUAAAAGGUAUUACAUUGAGCUCUGUUCGAGCUAUAGUUUCCUACAUGAUCUGAGUUCAGACCGG